CUGCGCAGUCGGUCGUGAUUGGACCGAAAUAUUUGGAGGACGUGCCCGCUGGUCGAAACGCCGCGCGCAUCCAAACGAGGUGAUGACCACGUCCGCACAGCCAUGGUGUCUCCGGUGACCAAAGCCGUCUUCAUCGCUCUCUUCCUCUUCGCCAUCCUGCUCAUCCUCUACGUUAUCCUGUGGUACAUCUGCCGCGACGCCGACAACGACUUCAUCUGAGCCCGAGCGCGAAGGUCACGGAGGGCAACGCUACGGUAGGACGAUGGCGGCUAUAAUGACCUUGGUCAUACUGGAGGAGCACUCAGUGUGACAGCAGUGGAGGUGCACAGAAGGGCAGACAUGGAAGGAACCAGAAACUGUACAGGCGGGCAAGGAAGAACUCAACUGGGCUGACAAAUGGGGGGACUGACUGGUACUGAUAAACAACAUGAAUACUAGGACACCAAGGAUGAAAAUGGGAAGGAAAAGAAGAAGACUGGAAUAACAGACCAUCAGCUCUUUCAUCAUGAAUCGUAUGCUCUGAUUUUGUAGUCCUGUAGUCUCUGUAGUUAACACUACUGUAAUGUCUUCCCUUCAGUUCUGCAAUGACUGAAGACUAAUGGUAGUAUUAGCGCUAAAUCUGAUGUAAAGACAUACAAGAAGUGAAUAUGAAUGGCUUUUGGUUCUCUAAAUGUCUGUAUUCAGAUUUAAACUGGCGAUGUGAUCCACACUAGAAGUGUUUUUUUUUUCAAUAGAUUUGAAAUGAGACAAAAUAAUGCAUAAAACCUCUUAAUGUCAUUUUCUGUGUUCAACAUAUUUGAACCUUGUGAUGAGCUAUACAGUUUGAGACCAAACACCCUCCCAGCUGGUGAAAACUGGAGGAAAUUAAAUAGUACACUCAUAGAAACGA
Pygocentrus nattereri (red-bellied piranha) is the source of this 889-nucleotide long non-coding RNA. RefSeq lists it as uncharacterized. Lineage: Eukaryota; Metazoa; Chordata; Actinopteri; Characiformes; Serrasalmidae. The record is from RefSeq and is a predicted model, not a curated record. The transcript is spliced from 2 exons.